This 468-nucleotide ribosomal RNA is filed under the name uncultured bacterium. RNAcentral's name for it is "partial 16S ribosomal RNA". It matches the Rfam family "Bacterial small subunit ribosomal RNA", at positions 28 to 507 of the family's 1533-position model. The record is from RNAcentral.
GACGAACGCUGGCGGCGUGCUUAACACAUGCAAGUCGAACGGAAAGGCCCUGCUUUUGUGGGGUGCUCGAGUGGCGAACGGGUGAGUAACACGUGAGUAACCUGCCCUUGACUGUGGGAUAACUUCAGGAAACUGGGGCUAAUACCGGAUAGGAGCUCCUGCUGCAUGGUGGGGGUUGGAAAGUUUCGGCGGUUGGGGAUGGACUCGCGGCUUAUCAGCUUGUUGGUGGGGUAGUGGCUUACCAAGGCUUUGACGGGUAGCCGGCCUGAGGGGGUGACCGGCCACAUUGGGGCUGCGAUACGGCCCAGACUCCUACGGGGGGCAGCAGUGGGGAAUAUUGCACAAUGGGCGGAAGCCUGAUGCAGCAACGCCGCGUGCGGGAUGACGGCCUUCGGGUUGUAAACCGCUUUCGCCUGUGACGAAGCGUGAGUGACGGUAAUGGGUAAAGAAGCACCGGCUAACUACGUG